UCCAGGCCGCCCCGGUUCACCGCACCCUCUGGGGUGGGGUGGGGGGUCCUAAAAGCACAAAAGGCAACGGCGGGAGAGAUUAAACCCGGAUGCAACGGAGCCCCAGCUCUGGCCUAGUGGACGGCCCAGGGCGUGGACCGGGAGGAAAUAGUAACCUAAGAAAGUUAAAGGAAGACGGAACAAACAAGAAGGACGCUAGGAGAUCAAAGAAGAGGAAUGAGACAGCGUUAGACCAAUAAAUUGUUCCCCGAGUGACACGAAGCAAGGUGCAAAGAGGGAGACCCCGGCCCGCCGCUGCCGCCGUCUGUCUGGACUCGGGUGGCCGGAGCGGCCGAUGGCGAUGGCGUUUAAAGUGGAACCUGCCCUGAGUGAGGCGACCCGACAGACCGAUUUCAGGGAGCGAUUUCGAGGAGCGCGGGAAGGAACUCGGUCUGGGCCAAAAACGCUGAGAGUCCGCGCCACAGCCCGUCCCUGCCGGGUUUUGUCUCCCGCAGGUCGGAGGGAUCCAAGCAGGACGCGCUGCCCCUCCACCUGGGCCGGGGAGGAUCCAGAUACGGCUCGCAAGGCCUCGGCCUCUCUGGACCCGAGUGCCCCGGGCGCCGAAAGCUCUCUUUCGUUUCUGAGUUUCUCUCUCUCCUCCUGCCUUCUGUAGCAGGGUUUUAAAACGAGAAGGCCAAAGUCAGGCUUUCAGUAAGGCCUCUUUAAUCGCGUGUUCUUAAGCCAUUGCUUUCCUACUUAUUUGGUUGAAAAGACACCAAUGCACUAGGUUAUAUAUGAUAUCAUUUACAGAAAUACUCGUUGACGCUUAGCCUGGAGCCGGCACAUUGAGGCGGGGUUCUCAUCUGCCCAGCUGUCUUUAAAGACAACGUUCACUGCUUUCCUGGGUCUGGUUUCCUACCUACCAAGCAUAAUGUGUUUCCCCUGCUUCAUGGUACCAACUAGUGCUCAAAAUGUAAAUCCAGCUAGGAAUGUAAACCCAGGUCUCAGGGCAGCGGAGGAAGGCGGCCAGGAGUCCGGCGGCUGGCGGCUUGCUUCUCUCAACGUGUCCGCCGGUGCCCCUCGCACGACCUGCGCGUCGGUUCUCCAUCCGUGAGCAGUCUUUGGUCGGGGUGCCGGGACAAACCAUCAACAACGAGUUCAAAGGAGCUCGGGCUGGCUCAGGGUGUUGUCUGGGCGGCGUGCGGGGAAGCGGGUCCUAGGCUGCCGCGCAGAGAGAACCGCCUCCCGGCCGCCCGCAGGCCAAGGGCAAGCGAGGCCCCGCCUGGCGGCCCGUGAAGCCUCUGAGAUCCCGGCCGGCCUGUACCUACCUGAGGCCUCCGCGACCUGCGGAGAGAAGCAGUAGCCACCGAUCUGCUCCUUUGCCAUUUAUUCGUAGUUACAUAAACCGAGCUUUCUAUCUGCCGCUUGGAUACGUGGCUACGGACGGCUCUCAGGAAGCUAUAAAGCCCUUCUGACAAUCAGAAGCUGUGAAAUAUUGUGUACUAUGUAAGGAAAUAUAACGAAGGUGUAUGUCUGUAAUACCAACGUGUUUAUAUAAACAGAAAAAAGGAGGAGAGAGAGAGAGAGAGAGAGAGAGAGAGAGAGAGAGAGAGAGAGAUGUCAGCCAAAAUCCAGUCCCCAGUUUUACAGCGUGUACAGCAUGGAGAUGCAGGUUGUAAACAUUUUGUGGGCUUGGCAGAGACUAUUACGACCCAAAUAAAUGCCUCGCGUGGAGUGUUCACGGGGCUCCGCGGU
Molecule: long non-coding RNA, 1734 nt
Organism: Pteropus alecto (black flying fox)
Lineage: Eukaryota; Metazoa; Chordata; Mammalia; Chiroptera; Pteropodidae
Exons: 2
Source: RefSeq, a predicted model, not a curated record